This 554-nucleotide ribosomal RNA is filed under the name Microascus sp. F277948. Its description in RNAcentral is "eukaryotic LSU rRNA". It matches the Rfam family "Eukaryotic large subunit ribosomal RNA", at positions 47 to 606 of the family's 3401-position model. The record is from RNAcentral. Lineage: Eukaryota; Fungi; Ascomycota; Sordariomycetes; Microascales; Microascaceae.
UAAGCGGAGGAAAAGAAACCAACAGGGAUUGCCCCAGUAACGGCGAGUGAAGCGGCAACAGCUCAAAUUUGAAAUCUGGUCCCCUUGCGGGGCCCGAGUUGUAAUUUGAAGAGGAUGCUUCUGGCAAGGUGCCUUCCGAGUUCCCUGGAACGGGACGCCGCAGAGGGUGAGAGCCCCGUACGGUAGGACGCCGAGCCUCUGUGAAGCUCCUUCGACGAGUCGAGUAGUUUGGGAAUGCUGCUCAAAAUGGGAGGUAAACCCCUUCUAAAGCUAAAUACCGGCCAGAGACCGAUAGCGCACAAGUAGAGUGAUCGAAAGAUGAAAAGCACUUUGAAAAGAGAGUUAAAAAGCACGUGAAAUUGUUGAAAGGGAAGCGCUUGCGACCAGACUCGCGCCCGUCGGAUCAGCCGUCGCUUGUCGGCGGCGCACUCCGGCGGGCUCGGGCCAGCAUCAGUUCGCCUCGGGGGGAGAAAGGCGGCAGGAAUGUGGCUCCUCGGAGUGUUAUAGCCUGCCGUGUAAUACCCCCGGGCGGACUGAGGACCGCGCGUAUGCAA